RNAcentral lists this RNase P RNA (368 nucleotides) under Crocinitomicaceae bacterium. Its description in RNAcentral is "RNase P RNA component class A". It matches the Rfam family "Bacterial RNase P class A". From Rfam's summary of the family: Ribonuclease P (RNase P) is a ubiquitous endoribonuclease, found in archaea, bacteria and eukarya as well as chloroplasts and mitochondria. Its best characterised activity is the generation of mature 5'-ends of tRNAs by cleaving the 5'-leader elements of precursor-tRNAs. Lineage: Bacteria; Pseudomonadati; Bacteroidota; Flavobacteriia; Flavobacteriales; Crocinitomicaceae. The record is from RNAcentral.
AAGGCAAAUCAGUCUAUCGCUUUGCAUUUAUUGUAAAGAGGAAAGUCUGGGCAGCAAAGAGUACUGUGCUUCUUAACGGGAAGGCGUGUCUUCGGAUAUGACAGAAAGUGCCGCAGAAAGGUAAACUACCAGAACUUACGUUUUGGAAAAGGUGAAAAGGUGAGGUAAGAGCUCACCGGGUUGUUGCUGACAAUAACCGCAUGGUAAACCUCACAGGCUGAAAGAUUAUGUAAACCUAGGUUUGAGAAUUACUCGUUCGACUAGGAGGGUAAAUUGAUGGAUUUCGUGAGUGAUUGCGGAACUAGAUAAAUGAUAGACUAUGCAACUAGUGUGCAGAUACAGGACCCGGCUUAAGAUUUGCCUUUCUU